GUGCACUCCCUACCACCACCAUCACCACUACCACCACCCAACACAGACGCAUGUGCAGGUACCCACGUCGGCACGUCGGUGCAUCGUCCCUUUAUCCUCCCUUCUCUCACAUUCCACAUCGCUUACCAUCGAGAGCGACAACACUUUCCUUCUGCGAGCAGCCCAGCCAUACACACCUCGACCAGACGCGGUGCCCGUAGUGUGGUAGACACUAAAUACAGAAGGAAGGCGUGCGAGAGUGUGUGUUUGUGACCGCGCUCUGGUGCGCAGGCCUUCUGCUCAGCUCUCUAAUCUAUCAUUGUUGCACCUGCACACGCAACUCGCCAACUCUUUUCGUCAUUACGACGACGUCGUACCCCUCCUCGCCCUUGCCCUCCCCUCUUACCCCCCCCCACUCCCAACACCGUCUCUCCGCCACCUCGCGGUCUCUCGUCAGCCGCCGCCCAGUCCCCGCGAACACGGCGGUUUUACACGCACACACCUUCUUGGGGGGAAGGAGGGGGCCUCUGCUCUCUAUUCGUCGCCUUUUCAGCCGGUGGCCGGUGUGUGCGCGUGUGUGUCUCUUCCUGCCUGGGAAGGGAGGGGAGAGAGAAUGCGCAGAGGGUCACGGCAUGCAGCUGCCGCGUUACCGUGCUCGCAGUCCGCAAGCAAUUCCGUGGUCAGCUCGCCUAACUCAGCGACCGUGACGACCUCAGGGGAUGUGUUUGGAGGCAACUCACCGGCAGCUGCGUCCCCCUCAGCUGGGCGCCGACAGCAACGGCUAUCGCGCGGUAGUCUUAGUAAGGCUUGUCCUUCACCGCCGCCCUCUGUGUCCACAUCACAGCAACAGCAGCAGCGGUCGCAAAGGCAAAUGAAGAAGGGCCCCCGUCAUCACCGCGGGGGCGGCGGUCGGAGAGAAGCGCAGCGAAGACGACUUCCCGGCUCAAGUGCGUCCGACGCAGCGAUGUCGAAGCCAAAGGUGCCACCUUCGUCUUCUCUUCCUGGGCGUCGCAGCAGCAGCGGCGGAAGCAGCGGCGGCUAUGGUGACGUUGCCGCAGGGAUGUGCACAGUAGAGGAUGUAGUAAAGAGCGCAGUCGACCCACAAGCGCAGUUCACCAUGUCAUCCAAUACAAGUCGCACCACCACCAUCACCGCCGACGACGACGGCAACGAAGCGGACUCUUCGUGCUCGCCUCUGCCGCACCAGCAGCAGCAGCAACGGCCACCUGAUCAGAGUAGACGCACGAAGGGCAACCGCGACUCCAAGCCGCGCGCAGUACGAGGCCGGGCGAACACGCAACUGUGGGAGAACGUACAGAAGCAGCGCAGGCAUCUGCAGUCACGACAGGAUCGUCGCCGCAUAGCUGCGAAAAGUAGCGAGGCCUCUGUCGAGGCCGGUGCUGCCGCGCACAACGUAGCCAACGAAGAGGACGAAGUAGCUGGCAACGUGCAAGGAUCCGCUGCAGCACCGGAGGAGGAAGAGGUGACGGUCUCGUGUAAACCGCGCAACGGCAGCCGCUUUUCUUCUCCACCAGCGACAACGGCCGCGGCAGCGGCCGAAGAGACCCUGGAAAACGAGGAGCUUGUGCCUGCUGCUGGCACUCGACGAGUACCAGGCCAAUCCGCAAAGAACGCGAUGGCGACGCCAUCACGGCGGCCUGCAGUCACGGAGGGCGGCGGCCGCUCUCGACACCGUCGCCGCCUCAGCCCAGCGCACCCUGUAGCGUCGUCGCCAGCGGUGUCUCGAGGUAGCUCCAUCAACGAUGCGGUCGGCGACGCCGCUGUUGAUGAAGAAACGCAGCCCCUGCCAAGGUUGUCGCACGCAGGGCAUGACGACAAGGCGGCCGUGCCAGCAGACGGGCCGCGUCGACCGCUGCGCGCGGGGAACAAGCUCUCCCGUAGGCAAAAGCAGAUGUCGACCGCCGUGCCGCAGCCGCAAUCGGGACCCGGUGUCGCUACUGGAAUGGCCCCGGUCACCGCCGUCGCCGCCUUCAGCACACGCCCGCCCCUGCCGCCCUUCGUGCCGCAGGACCCCAUCAUCGUGGCUCAACAGGUGCGUCACGCUGCACACGCGGUCGUCGCCGAGUCCGCACUUCCCGACCCAGCACCGACAGUGAUGCGGCUCGCCGCAUUCUCCUCGGCGAAGGGAUCGAUCACGGAUCCGUGUGUGGUCGCAGCGGUGCUUCCCACGUCGGCAGGUGCUGCAGCCCAUGCUGUCGGCCCUGCAGUGCCGCACGGUGGCCGGGUGAAGGACACGGCGGCCCCAUCUACAGCUGGUCCUCCAACAGUGGUGUCGUCACGCUCGAUGCCGCAGCAGCAGCAGCAGCAGCAGUCUGAGGAAGAUAAGCAGCUCAGCCGUCGCGGUUUGCGCUUGGGUGCUGCCCCGUUCUACCCUGCGGCCACCGCCAGCCUCAUCCUCGCCAUGACCCCCGAAGCAGGCACCAACGGCGGUGACGCAUCACUUCCAUCGCUCGCAGCCGCCGUACCCAGCCCACAGUCACUGCUGGGGAGCUACAGCAUGUCGCCGGCACGGUCGCCGCCGCUAGUGCGCCCGACUUCCUCGCCGCUGGGGGACAGCGUGCAGAACCACAGUCGAAGCAGUACCGGGGGCCUCAUGAGCGGACAGAGCACCUUUGCGGCAGAGUUGGCGGCGGCAACAGGUACGCCAUGGACGCUCACUGUUAUCGCCCCGUCUCACUCGUCGCCGCCAUCAUCGAUAGGGCGGGAUGACACGGACGGCGACGGCCCCAGCAGCGGCACACCUUCUGUGCCGGUCAAAUCGCCGGCGCACGGAGCUGCAGCCGCGGCGAGUUACAGCAGCAACACAGAGAUGCCAAACGGCAUGGGGGAUCGGCCUUCCAUGCGGCGCAGUGCGCUGAUGGUGACAAACACAGCCACCGGUGCGCGUGUGUCGCCGGCGACCGUGACCACGCCGUCCGGCUCGCCGACCGCACUAUGGAGCGGCAGCGGCGGUAACGGACCGCAGAUGCGAACGAGUGGGCACACCAGUGGCGCCAGCUCUAGCACCGCCGCUGCCGCCACCACUUCCCCCGGUGGCGCUGGUCAUCACUCCGCCACUCAUUCGGGCAGCACACCCCAGGGCGUCGUUGUACGGGAGUUCCCUCAGGCUCCGUACCCGGUCGUGAGCCGAACUACAGAGCCUCACCAAUCACAGCAGCAGCACUCCAUGCGCAGCCCACGGUUGAUGAGUGAGAGCGACCUGGACUGCGUCCAGCACAAUCGUGUGGCAGUGUCCGACGUCGUCGCCAAGGACGAGGGCAGCCUCGUCGACACCCUCUUUGCCGACGUCAACAUGAUCGAAGACGACGAGAGUGAGGUAGACGGCGAUGAUCUGCUGAGCAGCCGUGAUGGGGGUGAACGUUGGACGAUGCAGCCUGCGCCGUCGCCCGUAGCUUCCGGUGAUGGCUCGCCACUUGUUGCCUCGUCGCCUGAUGUCCGCACGCCGCAUUCGAUGAACCAGCAGUUGCAGCACCGCUCUGGGUCCUUUUCGGCCGGCGUACGGAUGCUCGGCAAGGAGGCCGGCGGGCAGGUCUUUGGUGGUGGGUACUGGUAUCCCUCGGGUCCUUGGGCCAGCACGGACGCGACUGGUCGAGGUAGCGGCAGCGGCGGUACUGGCACAGGGUCGCACCGCGGUGGCGGCGGCGAUGUCAAGACCACUCUUGCCGCCGCCGUUACCGCAAGCAUCGGCAGUGGCAGCGGUGCGGCGGCGUGGCGUGGGUUGUCCACCCCACCACACCGCCAUCGGGCCUUCUCUGCGAGCUGCGCGAGUGUUGCGUCCACCAUGUCGCUCAUCGACCCGAAGCAGCCGCAGGCAGACGGCGCCGCGUACGACAUGAUGGGCGAGGAUGAUGAGUGGGAAAUGAACAGCAGCGCCUACGCCGACAGCCUCGACGAGGCGCAGAUCCAGUGGAUCGAGGAGCAGCUCAGGGCGACGGAGAACCCGGCAGGGUACUUCUAGCGGACUCCCUGCCCCCUUCUCCUCCACCUCAACUCAGUGCGCCGAGUGUUGUGCCGUGUGUGCUGCUUCUGUGCAUGGGUGUAUUAUCUGCACUUGCGAUUUUCUUUGAUGUUGUGUUUCAUUUUGCUCAAGUGCAUCUGCUGCACGCAUGCAUCUGUGUGUGUGUGUGGGUGUGUGGGUGGGCGGGUGGGUGGGCGACUGAACUUCUUUCGUAUACGUUUGAGUCUCUUUGCUUGUACGUGUCUGUCUCCGAGUGUGUGUGUGUGGAGGGGGGGGGUGUUGUUGCGUUCCCUCUUUCUUCACUGCUUCGCCUGCUCUCGCUCGCCCGCUCGCCUCAUUCCCAUCACCCGCCAUCAUCGCUCACGCGCACACACACGCCCUCACCCCCCUCCCUCCCUUCCCUGUACGCCGCAUUCGCGUGUCGUUCGCCUAUGCACCUUACGUUAUGCCGCCAUG
Molecule: unclassified non-coding RNA, 4414 nt
Filed under: Leishmania donovani
Lineage: Eukaryota; Euglenozoa; Kinetoplastea; Trypanosomatida; Trypanosomatidae
Description: gene:LdHU3.04.0520(CDS-product:hypothetical_prote in_conserved)
Source: RNAcentral